UCCCUAACUCGCGAACAAUCUAAUGUGGC
This 29-nucleotide non-coding RNA is filed under the name Bombyx mori (domestic silkworm). Lineage: Eukaryota; Metazoa; Arthropoda; Insecta; Lepidoptera; Bombycidae. The record is from RNAcentral.